AUUGAACGCUGGCGGCAGGCCUAACACAUGCAAGUCGAACGAGUGGCGGACGGGUGAGUAAUGUCUGGGUAACUGCCUGAUGGAGGGGGAUAACUACUGGAAACGGUAGCUAAUACCGCAUACCAUCGGAUGUGCCCAGAUGGGAUUAGCUAGUAGGUGGGGUAAAGGCUCACCUAGGCGACGAUCCCUAGCGGGUCUGAGAGGAUGACACGCCAAACUGGAACUGAGACAGGGUCCAUAUGCCGAGGGGAGGGAGCAGGGGGGAAUAUUGCACAAUGGGCGCAACCCUGAUGCAGCCAUGCCGCGUGUAUGAAGAAGGCCUUCGGGUUGUAAAGUACUUUCAGCGGGGAGGCGUUACCCGCAGAAGAAGCACCGGCUAACUCCGUGCCAGCCGCGCGGUAAUUC
RNAcentral lists this ribosomal RNA (405 nucleotides) under uncultured bacterium. Its description in RNAcentral is "partial 16S ribosomal RNA". It matches the Rfam family "Bacterial small subunit ribosomal RNA", at positions 30 to 526 of the family's 1533-position model. The record is from RNAcentral.